Molecule: ribosomal RNA, 377 nt
Filed under: uncultured bacterium
Lineage: Bacteria
Description: bacterial SSU rRNA
Rfam family: Bacterial small subunit ribosomal RNA
Source: RNAcentral
UAAUACGUAGGGGGCGAGCGUUGUCCGGAAUUAUUGGGCGUAAAGAGCGUGUAGGCGGUUCGGUAAGUCUGCUGUGAAAUCCUGGGGCUCAACCCCGGGCGUGCAGCGGAUACUGCCGGGCUAGAGGGUGGUAGAGGCGAGUGGAAUUCCCGGUGUAGCGGUGAAAUGCGCAGAUAUCGGGAGGAACACCAGUAGCGAAGGCGGCUCGCUGGGCCACACCUGACGCUGAGACGCGAAAGCGUGGGGAGCGAACAGGAUUAGAUACCCUGGUAGUCCACGCCGUAAACGAUGGACACUAGGUGUGGGCGGAGUCGAAUCUGUCCGUGCCGAAGCCAACGCGAUAAGUGUCCCGCCUGGGGAGUACGGCCGCAAGGCUA